GUAGUCAUAUGCUUGUCUCAAAGAUUAAGCCAUGCAUGUCUAAGUAUAAGCAAUUUAUACAGUGAAACUGCGAAUGGCUCAUUAAAUCAGUUAUCGUUUAUUUGAUAGUUCCUUUACUACAUGGUAUAACUGUGGUAAUUCUAGAGCUAAUACAUGCUUAAAAUCUCGACCCUUUGGAAGAGAUGUAUCUAUUAGAUAAAAAAUCAAUGUCUUCGGACUCUUUGAUGAUUCAUAAUAACUUUUCGAAUCGCAUGGCCUUGUGCUGGCGAUGGUUCAUUCAAAUUUCUGCCCUAUCAACUUUCGAUGGUAGGAUAGUGGCCUACCAUGGUUUCAACGGGUAACGGGGAAU
RNAcentral lists this ribosomal RNA (349 nucleotides) under uncultured fungus. RNAcentral's name for it is "SSU rRNA". It matches the Rfam family "Eukaryotic small subunit ribosomal RNA", at positions 20 to 370 of the family's 1831-position model. The record is from RNAcentral. Lineage: Eukaryota; Fungi.